This 582-nucleotide ribosomal RNA is filed under the name uncultured bacterium. Its description in RNAcentral is "bacterial SSU rRNA". It matches the Rfam family "Bacterial small subunit ribosomal RNA", at positions 337 to 909 of the family's 1533-position model. The record is from RNAcentral.
UCCUACGGGAGGCAGCAGUAGGGAAUCUUCCGCAAUGGACGAAAGUCUGACGGAGCAACGCCGCGUGAGUGAUGAAGGCUUUCGGGUCGUAAAACUCUGUUGUUAGGGAAGAACAAGUGCUAGUUGAAUAAGCUGGCACCUUGACGGUACCUAACCAGAAAGCCACGGCUAACUACGUGCCAGCAGCCGCGGUAAUACGUAGGUGGCAAGCGUUAUCCGGAAUUAUUGGGCGUAAAGCGCGCGCAGGUGGUUUCUUAAGUCUGAUGUGAAAGCCCACGGCUCAACCGUGGAGGGUCAUUGGAAACUGGGAGACUUGAGUGCAGAAGAGGAAAGUGGAAUUCCAUGUGUAGCGGUGAAAUGCGUAGAGAUAUGGAGGAACACCAGUGGCGAAGGCGACUUUCUGGUCUGUAACUGACACUGAGGCGCGAAAGCGUGGGGAGCAAACAGGAUUAGAUACCCUGGUAGUCCACGCCGUAAACGAUGAGUGCAAAGUGUUAGAGGGUUUCCGCCCUUUAGUGCUGAAGUUAACGCAUUAAGCACUCCGCCUGGGGAGUACGGCCGCAAGGCUGAAACUCAAAGGAA